CCUACGGGAGGCAGCAGUGGGGAAUAUUGCACAAUGGGGGGAACCCCCGUCCCAGCCAUGCCCGCGUGUAGAAGAAAGCCCUUCGGGUGGUAAACUACUUUAAGGGGGGGGGAAGGCAUUAAGGUUAAUAUCCUUGGUGAUGGACGUUACUCGCAGAAGAAGCACCGGCUAACUCCGUGCCAGCAGCCGCGGUAAU
Molecule: ribosomal RNA, 196 nt
Filed under: uncultured bacterium
Lineage: Bacteria
Also listed under: 1 other name
Description: partial 16S ribosomal RNA
Rfam family: Bacterial small subunit ribosomal RNA
Source: RNAcentral